GCAGCCGCCGCGGUAACACAGAGGGUGCGAGCGUUAAUCGGAUUUACUGGGCGUAAAGCGUGCGUAGGCGGCUUCUUAAGUCGGAUGUGAAAUCCCUGAGCUUAACUUAGGAAUUGCAUUCGAUACUGGGAAGCUAGAGUAUGGGAGAGGAUGGUAGAAUUCCAGGUGUAGCGGUGAAAUGCGUAGAGAUCUGGAGGAAUACCGAUGGCGAAGGCAGCCAUCUGGCCUAAUACUGACGCUGAGGUACGAAAGCAUGGGGAGCAAACAGGAUUAGAUACCCCAGUAGUCCCUGUCUCUUAUAC
Molecule: ribosomal RNA, 302 nt
Filed under: uncultured bacterium
Lineage: Bacteria
Description: partial 16S ribosomal RNA
Rfam family: Bacterial small subunit ribosomal RNA
Source: RNAcentral